GUGGAUGUAGCUCAGUGGUAGAGCACUUGCUUAACACCCGUGAGAACCUGGGUUUGAGCCCCAGCUCUGCA
RNAcentral lists this transfer RNA (71 nucleotides) under Heterocephalus glaber (naked mole-rat). It matches the Rfam family "tRNA". Rfam says of the family: Transfer RNA (tRNA) molecules are approximately 80 nucleotides in length. Their secondary structure includes four short double-helical elements and three loops (D, anti-codon, and T loops). The record is from Rfam by way of RNAcentral. Lineage: Eukaryota; Metazoa; Chordata; Mammalia; Rodentia; Bathyergidae.